ACCGGAGCUUGCUCCACCGGAAAAAGAGGAGUGGCGAACGGGUGAGUAACACGUGGGUAACCUGCCCAUCAGAAGGGGAUAACACUUGGAAACAGGUGCUAAUACCGUAUAACAAUCGAAACCGCAUGGUUUUGAUUUGAAAGGCGCUUUCGGGUGUCGCUGAUGGAUGGACCCGCGGUGCAUUAGCUAGUUGGUGAGGUAACGGCUCACCAAGGCCACGAUGCAUAGCCGACCUGAGAGGGUGAUCGGCCACAUUGGGACUGAGACACGGCCCAAACUCCUACGGGAGGCAGCAGUAGGGAAUCUUCGGCAAUGGACGAAAGUCUGACCGAGCAACGCCGCGUGAGUGAAGAAGGUUUUCGGAUCGUAAAACUCUGUUGUUAGAGAAGAACAAGGAUGAGAGUAACUGUUCAUCCCUUGACGGUAUCUAACCAGAAAGCCACGGCUAACUACGUGCCAGCAGCCGCGGUAAUACGUAGGUGGCAAGCGUUGUCCGGAUUUAUUGGGCGUAAAGCGAGCGCAGGCGGUUUCUUAAGUCUGAUGUGAAAGCCCCCGGCUCAA
This 561-nucleotide ribosomal RNA is filed under the name Enterococcus faecium. Its description in RNAcentral is "bacterial SSU rRNA". It matches the Rfam family "Bacterial small subunit ribosomal RNA", at positions 72 to 612 of the family's 1533-position model. The record is from RNAcentral. Lineage: Bacteria; Bacillati; Bacillota; Bacilli; Lactobacillales; Enterococcaceae.